RNAcentral lists this long non-coding RNA (681 nucleotides) under Panax ginseng (ginseng). RNAcentral describes it as "long non-coding RNA (PGIN_LNC014210)". The record is from RNAcentral. Lineage: Eukaryota; Viridiplantae; Streptophyta; Magnoliopsida; Apiales; Araliaceae.
AGAGGAUCAUAUUUAUAUAGUUAAGCAAUUACAUAGGAUCGUGUUAUUCAAAACAGAGAAUUAUUACAGUAGCCCAGAAUCCAUUUCUUCAAAACAGAAGAUCAAAACAGAGGAGAAAAAUAAUCAGUGAAGAAAUCGGUGGAAAUCGAAAGUUCAGAUCUGGAUUUGUUCAGAUCUAGAUCUGAAUAGACUUAAUUAAAAAAAGCCUCUCCCUCUUCAAAUCAUUCUUCUAAAAUCCACUCCUCAAAGCAAUUGGGUUCAUCAAUGGUGUUGAAGCAUUUGGGUUCCAAAUACAGUACAUUCCUGGAGGUAUAGCUUUCAAUUCGUCAGCUUCCGAUGAAGAAGACGACGGAGGAUCACGUUCUUCACGCUCUUCAAGGAACAGAUUCUUCAACAUCAACAUCACCACGCUUAAUUUUCCGGCACGAUUAUCUGAUUGUGAAAAAAGAUUUGGAUUGAAAAUGGGGAAAACUAAAUUUCUUGCGGACUUGAUUGCUAUUUUAGCUAAUUUAUCGGAAGAGUAACUGUUGAAGCUAGGACUUAACAAUGAAUUUUCAUUUCGUUUCUGAAUUUCUAAGAACACAAAUAAUUGUGUUUGAGUGGAGAGAGAAAAAGAAGUUUAUGCAAUUCUAAGAACACAAAUAGUUGUGUUUGAGUGGAGAGAGAAAAAGAGGUUAAUAG